Molecule: long non-coding RNA, 220 nt
Filed under: Phoenix dactylifera (date palm)
Lineage: Eukaryota; Viridiplantae; Streptophyta; Magnoliopsida; Arecales; Arecaceae
Description: long non-coding RNA (PDAC_LNC012006)
Source: RNAcentral
ACAUGAACAGGCUGUGACAAAAUGUAAAUGCCAUUACUCAGAAUUCCAUUCAUUACAACAACACCAUUCCAAAUGACAUUGCAAUAAUCCUUUUUUAUUGAUAUUUCAUAACCAUUUUUGGCCAAAAGGCCUACAGAAAUGAUAUUCAAUAGAAAACUUGGACAAUAGUGACAAUCACUAAGGACAUUUACAUGAGAGCUGAAUUCAAGUUUAAGAAUUC